UACGGAGGGGGCGAGCGUUAUUCGGAAUUAUUGGGCGUAAAGGGCGCGUAGGCGGCUUGAUGUGUCAAAGGUGAAAUCCCUCGGCUCAACUGAGGAACUGCCUUUGAAACUGUCUGGCUUGAGGCCGGGAGAGGGUAGCGGAAUUCCCAGUGUAGCGGUGAAAUGCGUAGAUACUGGGAGGGACACCGGUGGCGAAGGCGGCUACCUGGACCGGUUCUGACGCUGAUGCGCGAAAGCGUGGGUAGCAAACAGG
RNAcentral lists this ribosomal RNA (253 nucleotides) under uncultured bacterium. RNAcentral describes it as "partial 16S ribosomal RNA". It matches the Rfam family "Bacterial small subunit ribosomal RNA", at positions 524 to 776 of the family's 1533-position model. The record is from RNAcentral.